AUUGAACGCUGGCGGCAGGCCUAAUACAUGCAAGUCGAGCGAGCGGCGGACGGGUGAGUAAUGUAUGGGGACUGCCCGUUAGAGGGGGAUCACUACUGGAAACGGUAGCUAAUACAGCAUACUAUCGGAUAACCUAUAUGGGAUUAGCUAGUAGGUGAGUGAAUGGCUAACCUAGGCGACGAUCCCUAGCGGGUCUGAGAGGAUGAUCAGCCACAAUGGGACUGAGACACGGCCCAGACUCCUACGGCGGCAGCAGUGGGGAAUAUUGCACAAUGGACGAAAGCCGGAUGCAGCCAUGCCGCGUGUAUGAAGAAGGCUCUAGGGUUGUAAAGUACUUUCAUUCGGGAGGCGUUACCGACAGAAGAAGCACCGGCUAACUCCGUGCCAGCAGCCGCGGUAAUUC
This 403-nucleotide ribosomal RNA is filed under the name uncultured bacterium. Its description in RNAcentral is "partial 16S ribosomal RNA". It matches the Rfam family "Bacterial small subunit ribosomal RNA", at positions 30 to 526 of the family's 1533-position model. The record is from RNAcentral.